GCAUCGAUGAAGAACGCAGUGAAUUGCGUUAAGAAUCACGAAUUACAGAUAUUAUGAGUGAUAUGUUUUCGAUUGCAUAUUGCAUCGUUGGGCACUUGCCCAUCGGUAUACUCAACUCAGGGUGUUUAUCAAGAACUCCCAAUCCAACACAAUGCCCGUGGUUGUUGUUGGUCGUGCUUGAACGUUCCGUUCGAAACGAGAUGCUGCUGAACUGAGGUUUGAAUGAGCGAAAGGUGCUGUUUGGGUGCUGCUUGUGUCUGAUUCACUCAAACAAGUGGUGCCCUGCCGGCACACUUCCCAGACUUCUCAGCGCCACGCAUCACUGGUUAAUCCACCUGAGUUGAAUAUGAUCACCCGCCGAACUUAAGCAUAUCAAUAAGCGGAGGA
RNAcentral lists this ribosomal RNA (387 nucleotides) under uncultured fungus. Its description in RNAcentral is "eukaryotic LSU rRNA". The stretch from base 1 to 125 matches the Rfam family "5.8S ribosomal RNA", at positions 30 to 154 of the family's 154-position model. Lineage: Eukaryota; Fungi. The record is from RNAcentral.